RNAcentral lists this ribosomal RNA (1358 nucleotides) under Cubitermes oblectatus. RNAcentral's name for it is "16S ribosomal RNA". The stretch from base 863 to 1238 matches the Rfam family "Bacterial large subunit ribosomal RNA", at positions 2073 to 2647 of the family's 2925-position model. Lineage: Eukaryota; Metazoa; Arthropoda; Insecta; Blattodea; Termitidae. The record is from RNAcentral.
GUUGAUUUGUGUUUUUAUAUUUUAUUAUAAUUGAAAGAUCAUUUCUGGUUGUUGUAUUUAUUUUGAUUUAAUUUUUUAUACGAUAGAUUAUUUGUACUGUGAGGGGUUGUUGUUGAUAAGUGUUUUGAGGGAAGUUAAUUUUGUUUAUUGUACCUUGUGUAUCAGGGUUCAUUGAAUUUUAUUAUUUAUUUUUAUUUCCCGAUUUUAAAGGAGUUAAUAGCUUAUGUUAGUUAUUGUUUCAUCAAUAUUAAUAAUAGGUUAUUGGUAGUGAAAUGUUAUUCGUCUUUUAUGGUUUCUGGUUUUCCAAGAAAUGAAUUUAAUUCAUACAUCAUAUUUAAUUUCUGUUAUUAUUUUAUUUGUUUUUAUUUGAUGUUAAGGUUAGGGGGGAUUAGCUCCCUGUCUUAUUAUUAUAAUUUUGUUUGUGAAUUUGGUUUUGUGGAUUUUAUAGUGAUUUUCAAUUUGAUUAUGUUAAAAUUUUACUUGUUUCUUUUAUUUAUUUAUUUUAAUUUAGUUAGUUUAUUGGAAUGUUUUCUUUGCUUUUGGUUUGUGUAGAAAUUAUUGUGGAAUUAGUAAAUCUUGCUUUAUAUAUUGUUUGUUAAAGUAUUAGUGUUAAUUAUUUUUUAGGAAUUAGGCAAAUUUUAUGCCCGCCUGUUUAACAAAAACAUCUUUUCUUGUUAGUUUUUGAAGUAUGGCCUGCCCACUGACGUAUAUUAGGUUGAAGGGCCGCGGUAUUUUGACCGUGCAAAGGUAGCAUAAUCAUUAGUUCUUUAAUUGUGAUCUGGUAUGAAUGGCUUGACGAGGCAUUGUCUUAAGUUUAUGUUUUAAUUGAAUUUGGUCUUUGAGUUAAAAUUCUUAAAUGUUUUUAUGGGACGAGAAGACCCUAUAGAGUUUAACACCCUUCUUAUUAUGUGUUGUUUUGUUUGUUUUGUAUUUUAAUACGAUGGGUGUUUUGUUGGGGUGAUGGGAGGAAUAUAUUUAACUCCUCUUUGGUUUAGUUGUAUAUUUAUGUAUAGUUUUAUUUUGAUCCAAUUAUUUUGAUUAUAAGAUUAAAUUACCUUAGGGAUAACAGCGUUAUCUUCCUUGAGAGUUCUUAUUGGCAGGGGGGUUUGCGACCUCGAUGUUGGAUUAAGAUGAAUUUUCGGUGUAGGAGCUGAAGUUUGAUUAGGUCUGUUCGACCUUUAAAAUCUUACAUGAUCUGAGUUCAGACCGGCGUGAGCCAGGUUGGUUUCUAUCUAUAAUAUAUUUUUAUACCUUAGUACGAGAGGACCGGGUAUUUGGAAUAAUUUUAUUUGUAUUUGAUUAUUAUUAAUGUUAUUACUAUUUUGGCAGAUAAGUGCAUUGGAUUUAGAAUCUAUUAA